AGGGUAUCCCUCCCAAAGAGAGUUACCAGCCCUCAAGGGACUUCUGGAUUGAAUGCUAUGCCUUCUCAUCUCUCCCAUUUUAAGUUACGUAAGAUCGCACUACAUAGCUUCUCUCUGUUGACAGACAGUGACAGGGACUUCUCACAGUCCCAAAGGGAAUAUGUAUCUUCCCUGUCCUCUCCCAUAGUCUCUCACAUUUGCCUUCCACAGGACCACAUGCAAACAUACUUCAAUGUGUAAGCAAGGCAAACCUUGACAGAGCACAAAAUCCCUAGGUUGCCUAUGGGAAGUAAGGUCCUGCCAUUCCCUAACCCCCUAGCCAGGCCCCAGCAUUCCCUUUGGGAACCUGGAAGGUAAAUAUAGGUGGCCGAGAAGCCAUUUACCUUCAGAGCUCCAGCAAUUAAACCUUCUAUUCCCAAGAUGGGGCCCUUCCUCCAAAUUAACUCAAUGUGGUCCUCCCACUCAUUUUUUCCCCAGUGACACUUUUUCCCAGGAAAGGAGCUGACUCAUUCCUACAAAGAUAGGCAUGGCUGGCUGGCCUUUCUUCUUGAUAUAUUUGCCUUAACAGAAGAUAAUGACCCUGAUUUGAAGGAAAGAUCUGGUUGUGAACUGAACGAAGAAGGUUUUGUAGAGAAUCAUAGGAUAGAUGUAGAUAUACUUCUUGGGAAUUCAUGAAAUCAGUCUCAAACAAAACGAAAUGGUUUUUCCUUCCAUUCCAUGUAAAAAUCACUUCCUCACUAAAGGGAGGGGUAGAAUACCUCACUCGCUUCUCUCUUCCAAAUCCUUACUCCUCAACAUGCCCAUCUCUGUUCCUACUCCUAGGUUGCUG
This 829-nucleotide long non-coding RNA is filed under the name Homo sapiens (human). RNAcentral's name for it is "HSALNT0062918". Lineage: Eukaryota; Metazoa; Chordata; Mammalia; Primates; Hominidae. The record is from RNAcentral.